Molecule: ribosomal RNA, 85 nt
Filed under: Lonchocarpus longistylus
Lineage: Eukaryota; Viridiplantae; Streptophyta; Magnoliopsida; Fabales; Fabaceae
Description: partial 28S ribosomal RNA
Rfam family: Eukaryotic large subunit ribosomal RNA
Source: RNAcentral
CGAGACCUCAGGUCAGACGGGGCUACCCGCUGAGUUUAAGCAUAUCAAUAAGCGGAGGAAAGAACUAACAGGAUUCCCUAGUACG